Molecule: unclassified non-coding RNA, 406 nt
Filed under: soil metagenome
Description: partial contains 5.8S ribosomal RNA, internal transcribed spacer 2, and large subunit ribosomal RNA
Rfam family: 5.8S ribosomal RNA (bases 1-121)
Source: RNAcentral
GAUGAAGAACGUAGCGAAAUGCGAUAAGUAAUGUGAAUUGCAGAAUUCAGUGAAUCAUCGAAUCUUUGAACGCACCUUGCGCCCUUUGGCCAUUCCGAAGGGCAUGCCUGUUUGAGUAUCAUGAACACCUCAACUCUUCAUGGUUUUCCGUGAUGAGCUUGGACUUUGGGGGUCUUGCUGGCCUAUGGUCAGCUCCUCUAAAAUAAAUCAGCUUGCCAGUGUUUGGUGGGUAUCACAGGUAUGAUAACUAUCUACGCUUGUGGUUUUCCACCAGGUAACCUUCAGCAGUGGAGGUUCGCUGGAGCUCACAGAUGUGUCUCUCCUCAGUGAGGACAGCUCUUUGAAUGUUUGAUCUCAAAUCAGGUAGGACUACCCGCUGAACUUAAGCAUAUCAAUAAGCGGAGGA